This 1359-nucleotide ribosomal RNA is filed under the name Lactiplantibacillus plantarum. RNAcentral describes it as "bacterial SSU rRNA". It matches the Rfam family "Bacterial small subunit ribosomal RNA", at positions 39 to 1364 of the family's 1533-position model. The record is from RNAcentral. Lineage: Bacteria; Bacillati; Bacillota; Bacilli; Lactobacillales; Lactobacillaceae.
GCGGGUGCCUAUACAUGCAAGUCGAACGAACUCUGGUAUUGAUUGGUGCUUGCAUCAUGAUUUACAUUUGAGUGAGUGGCGAACUGGUGAGUAACACGUGGGAAACCUGCCCAGAAGCGGGGGAUAACACCUGGAAACAGAUGCUAAUACCGCAUAACAACUUGGACCGCAUGGUCCGAGUUUGAAAGAUGGCUUCGGCUAUCACUUUUGGAUGGUCCCGCGGCGUAUUAGCUAGAUGGUGAGGUAACGGCUCACCAUGGCAAUGAUACGUAGCCGACCUGAGAGGGUAAUCGGCCACAUUGGGACUGAGACACGGCCCAAACUCCUACGGGAGGCAGCAGUAGGGAAUCUUCCACAAUGGACGAAAGUCUGAUGGAGCAACGCCGCGUGAGUGAAGAAGGGUUUCGGCUCGUAAAACUCUGUUGUUAAAGAAGAACAUAUCUGAGAGUAACUGUUCAGGUAUUGACGGUAUUUAACCAGAAAGCCACGGCUAACUACGUGCCAGCAGCCGCGGUAAUACGUAGGUGGCAAGCGUUGUCCGGAUUUAUUGGGCGUAAAGCGAGCGCAGGCGGUUUUUUAAGUCUGAUGUGAAAGCCUUCGGCUCAACCGAAGAAGUGCAUCGGAAACUGGGAAACUUGAGUGCAGAAGAGGACAGUGGAACUCCAUGUGUAGCGGUGAAAUGCGUAGAUAUAUGGAAGAACACCAGUGGCGAAGGCGGCUGUCUGGUCUGUAACUGACGCUGAGGCUCGAAAGUAUGGGUAGCAAACAGGAUUAGAUACCCUGGUAGUCCAUACCGUAAACGAUGAAUGCUAAGUGUUGGAGGGUUUCCGCCCUUCAGUGCUGCAGCUAACGCAUUAAGCAUUCCGCCUGGGGAGUACGGCCGCAAGGCUGAAACUCAAAGGAAUUGACGGGGGCCCGCACAAGCGGUGGAGCAUGUGGUUUAAUUCGAAGCUACGCGAAGAACCUUACCAGGUCUUGACAUACUAUGCAAAUCUAAGAGAUUAGACGUUCCCUUCGGGGACAUGGAUACAGGUGGUGCAUGGUUGUCGUCAGCUCGUGUCGUGAGAUGUUGGGUUAAGUCCCGCAACGAGCGCAACCCUUAUUAUCAGUUGCCAGCAUUAAGUUGGGCACUCUGGUGAGACUGCCGGUGACAAACCGGAGGAAGGUGGGGAUGACGUCAAAUCAUCAUGCCCCUUAUGACCUGGGCUACACACGUGCUACAAUGGAUGGUACAACGAGUUGCGAACUCGCGAGAGUAAGCUAAUCUCUUAAAGCCAUUCUCAGUUCGGAUUGUAGGCUGCAACUCGCCUACAUGAAGUCGGAAUCGCUAGUAAUCGCGGAUCAGCAUGCCGUCCCCUG